CAGUCGCCGCGGUAAUACGAAGGGAGCUAGCGUUGUUCGGAAUUACUGGGCGUAAAGCGCGCGUAGGCGGUUACUCAAGUCAGAGGUGAAAGCCCGGGGCUCAACCCCGGAACUGCCUUUGAAACUAGGUGACUAGAAUCUUGGAGAGGUCAGUGGAAUUCCGAGUGUAGAGGUGAAAUUCGUAGAUAUUCGGAAGAACACCAGUGGCGAAGGCGACUGACUGGACAAGUAUUGACGCUGAGGUGCGAAAGCGUGGGGAGCAAACAGGAUUAGAUACCCCAGUAGUCCCUGUCUCUUAUAC
RNAcentral lists this ribosomal RNA (301 nucleotides) under uncultured bacterium. RNAcentral's name for it is "partial 16S ribosomal RNA". It matches the Rfam family "Bacterial small subunit ribosomal RNA", at positions 509 to 807 of the family's 1533-position model. The record is from RNAcentral.